This 404-nucleotide ribosomal RNA is filed under the name uncultured bacterium. Its description in RNAcentral is "bacterial SSU rRNA". It matches the Rfam family "Bacterial small subunit ribosomal RNA", at positions 355 to 775 of the family's 1533-position model. The record is from RNAcentral.
UGAGGAAUCUUGCACAAUGGGGGAAACCCUGAUGCAGCAACGCCGCGUGGAGGAAGACGGUCUUCGGAUUGUAAACUCCUUUUGUUUGGGACGAACAUUGACGGUACCAAACGAAUAAGAGGUGGCUAACUACGUGCCAGCAGCCGCGGUAAUACGUAGACCUCGAGCGUUAUCCGGAUUUACUGGGCGUAAAGCGUGCGUAGGCGUCUCGUUAAGUCUCCGGUGAAAGCCUCCGGCCCAACUGGAGAACUGUCGGAGAUACUAACGGGAUUGAGUGUGACAGAGGCAGACGGAAUUCCUGGUGUAGCGGUAAAAUGCGUUGAUAUCAGGAGGAACACCGAUGGCGAAGGCAGUCUGCUGGGUCAUCACUGACGCUGAGGUACGAAAGCGUGGGUAGCGAACGG